AAGUCGUAACAAGGUUUCCGUAGGUGAACCUGCGGAAGGAUCAUUAACGAGGAGUGGUUUUGAACCAACAAGACAACUGUGAAAGGAAGUGGGUGAGUGGGUGUGCAGGCCUUUAGCUUGGACUUGGACAUUUCUCACAGCUCUUCAAAUAUAACUAUAAUUUAACUAUUUAAACAUCAAGUACAACUUUUAACAAUGGAUCUCUUGGCUCUC
Molecule: unclassified non-coding RNA, 213 nt
Rfam family: Eukaryotic small subunit ribosomal RNA (bases 1-46)